UGCAAGUCGAGGGGUAUUUGUAGCAAUACAGAGAGACCGGCGCACGGGUGAGUAACGCYUAUGCAACCUGCCCUUUACUGGAGGAUAGCCCGUAGAAAUGCGGAUUAAUACCCCAUAGUAAUGUUGGAUCGCAUGAUCUGGCAUUUAAAGUUUCGGCGGUAAAGGAUGGGCAUGCGUGACAUUAGCUAGUUGGCAGGGUAACGGCCUACCAAGGCUUCGAUGUCUAGGGGUUCUGAGAGGAAGAUCCCCCACACUGGUACUGAGACACGGACCAGACUCCUACGGGAGGCAGCAGUGAGGAAUAUUGGUCAAUGGGCGAGAGCCUGAACCAGCCAUCCCGCGUGCAGGAAGAAUGCCCUAUGGGUUGUAAACUGCUUUUUCGCAUGAAGAACACCUUUGACGUGUCAGAGGCUGACGGUAAUGCGUGAAUAAGCACCGGCUAACUCCGUGCCAGCAGCCGCGGUAAUACGGAGGGUGCAAGCGUUAUCCGGAUUUAUUGGGUUUAAAGGGUGCGUAGGCGRCUAUUUAAGUCAGUGGUGAAAUCCUGCAGCUCAACUGUAGAACAGCCAUUGAAACUGAAUAGCUUGAGUAAUCUUGAGGUAGGCGGAAUGUGUAGUGUAGCGGUGAAAUGCUUAKAUAUUACACAKAACRCCGAUUGCSAASGCAKCUUACUAAGGAUUCACUGACGCUGAUGCACGAWAGCGUGSKGAUCAAACRGGAUUAKAUACCCUGGUAGUCCA
This 740-nucleotide ribosomal RNA is filed under the name uncultured bacterium. RNAcentral describes it as "bacterial SSU rRNA". It matches the Rfam family "Bacterial small subunit ribosomal RNA", at positions 56 to 797 of the family's 1533-position model. The record is from RNAcentral.